UACGUAGGGGCAAGCGUUAUCCGGAUUUACUGGGUGUAAAGGGAGCGCAGACGGAACUGCAAGUCUGAUGUGAAAGCCCGGGGCUCAACCGCGGGACUGCAUUGGAAACUGUAGAUCUGGAGUGCCGGAGGGGCAAGCGGAAUUCCUGGUGUAGCGGUGAAAUGCGUAGAUAUCAGGAGGAACACCGGCGGCGAAGGCGGCUUGCUGGACGGCAACUGACGUUGAGGCUCGAAAGCAUGGGGAGCAAACAGGAUUAGAUACCCU
This 264-nucleotide ribosomal RNA is filed under the name uncultured prokaryote. RNAcentral describes it as "partial 16S ribosomal RNA". It matches the Rfam family "Bacterial small subunit ribosomal RNA", at positions 524 to 788 of the family's 1533-position model. The record is from RNAcentral.